This 498-nucleotide long non-coding RNA is filed under the name Salvia miltiorrhiza (redroot sage). RNAcentral describes it as "long non-coding RNA (SMIL_LNC014196)". The record is from RNAcentral. Lineage: Eukaryota; Viridiplantae; Streptophyta; Magnoliopsida; Lamiales; Lamiaceae.
AAAUACUAAUCUCAACUAAUUUAGACACAACUGAAAGUCAAUUAACCAUGCUAUAGUUUGGGUGACUUACUAAGUCAAUAUACUAACACUUCUUAGUCGUAUACCUCAAAAGAAUCUACUAGAACAACUCAAAAGUUGCAAAGGCUCAAAUCUCGAAUGAUAUAAAGUGCUGCAGAAAAUUUGUUCAAGAGACUCAAAUAAAUAACCAGAGGGUAGAAAGGAGUAACUACCAAGUCGAACAAAAUGACCUAGAGUGAGAACCCAUCUGAUUUUUUUUUUUUUUUUUAAACUUAGUAGUAGUAAUACUAGGGGUUUAUAAACCAAAAGACGUCUACUGAGAUUUGGAUCAUGUGGACUGGCCAGGUCCAACAUAAUCACUUCCCAGUUACACGGGAAACAUCAUCCCGAACUUGGUAAUUCUGGGUCUUCUAAAUUCUCAUCAUACUAUACAUAACAAAACUUAAGUUCACACCAGCAAGCUAAAAGCUUAAACUCAGG